AAUAUAUUACCUUCGUCUCAAGUUACUUGUCUUAGAUUUUUCUUGAUACGGAUGUAUCUCACACUAAAACAUGUCUUGAUACAUUCAUAUCUAGAAAAAUCCAAGACAAGUAACUUGAGACGAAGGAAUUUGUAU
Triticum aestivum (bread wheat) is the source of this 135-nucleotide non-coding RNA. The record is from Rfam. NCBI's taxonomy places the organism in Eukaryota, Viridiplantae, Streptophyta, Magnoliopsida, Poales, Poaceae.